GACGAACGCUGGCGGCGUGCUUAACACAUGCAAGUCGAACGGAAAGGCCCUGCUUUUGUGGGGUGCUCGAGUGGCGAACGGGUGAGUAACACGUGAGUAACCUGCCCUUGACUUUGGGAUAACUUCAGGAAACUGGGGCUCAUACCGGAUAGGAGCUCCUGCUGCAUGGUGGGGGUUGGAAAGUUUCGGCGGUUGGGGAUGGACUCGCGGCUUAUCAGCUUGUUGGUGGGGUAGUGGCUUACCAAGGCUUUGACGGGUAGCCGGCCUGAGAGGGUGACCGGCCACAUUGGGACUGAGAUACGGCCCAGACUCCUACGGGAGGCAGCGGUGGGGAAUAUUGCACAAUGGGCGGAAGCCUGAUGCAGCAACGCCGCGUGCGGGAUGACGGCCUUCGGGUUGUAAACCGCUUUCGCCUGUGACGAAGCGUGAGUGACGGUAAUGGGUAAAGAAGCACCGGCUAACUACGUG
RNAcentral lists this ribosomal RNA (468 nucleotides) under uncultured bacterium. Its description in RNAcentral is "partial 16S ribosomal RNA". It matches the Rfam family "Bacterial small subunit ribosomal RNA", at positions 28 to 507 of the family's 1533-position model. The record is from RNAcentral.